UACCCACCAGGAGAUAUAAAGGUCUAAG
RNAcentral lists this non-coding RNA (28 nucleotides) under Mus musculus (house mouse). The record is from RNAcentral. Lineage: Eukaryota; Metazoa; Chordata; Mammalia; Rodentia; Muridae.